This 245-nucleotide ribosomal RNA is filed under the name uncultured bacterium. RNAcentral's name for it is "partial 16S ribosomal RNA". It matches the Rfam family "Bacterial small subunit ribosomal RNA", at positions 527 to 772 of the family's 1533-position model. The record is from RNAcentral.
GUAGGGAGCAAGCGUUGUCCGGAAUUACUGGGAGUAAAGGGAGCGUAGGCGGGAUAGUAAGUUGAUUGUUAAAACUAUCGGCUCAACUGGUAGAUGCGAUCAAAACUGCAAUUCUUGAGUGAAGUAGAGGCAGGCGGAAUUCCUAGUGUAGCGGUGAAAUGCGUAGAUAUUAGGAGGAACACCAGUGGCGAAGGCGGCCUGCUGGGCUUUAACUGACGCUGAGGCUCGAAAGUGUGGGUAGCAAA